GGUGCUGUGGCUUAGUUGGUCAAAACGCCCGUCUAGUAAACAGGAAAUCCUGGGUUCAAAUCCCAGCAGUGCCU
This is a non-coding RNA of Danio rerio (zebrafish), 74 nucleotides long. The record is from Rfam. NCBI's taxonomy places the organism in Eukaryota, Metazoa, Chordata, Actinopteri, Cypriniformes, Danionidae.